UGAGGAAUAUUGCACAAUGGACGCAAGUCUGAUGCAGCGACGCCGCGUGAGCGAUGAAGGCCUUCGGGUCGUAAAGCUCUUUUGGCAGGGACGAGUGAGGACGGUACCUGUUGAAUAAGUCUCGGCUAACUACGUGCCAGCAGCCGCGGUAAAACGUAGGAGGCAAGCGUUAUCCGGAUUCACUGGGCGUAAAGCGUGCGUAGGCGGUCGGGUAAGUCGGAUGUUAAAGCCCCUGGCUCAACUGGGGGAGGUCAUUCGAUACUGCUCGGCUUGAGGAUGAGAGAGGAAAGCGGAAUUCCCGGUGUAGCGGUGGAAUGCGUAGAGAUCGGGAGGAACACCAGCGGCGAAAGCGGCUUUCUGGCUCAUAUCUGACGCUGAGUGCACGACAGCGUGGGGAGCAAACGGG
RNAcentral lists this ribosomal RNA (406 nucleotides) under uncultured bacterium. Its description in RNAcentral is "bacterial SSU rRNA". It matches the Rfam family "Bacterial small subunit ribosomal RNA", at positions 355 to 776 of the family's 1533-position model. The record is from RNAcentral.